UUCAUCUUUGUAGCAAUAUAGAAGAUGGAGAGUGGCGCACGGGUGAGUAACACAUAGAUGAUCUGCCGUUCAGACUGGGACAACUCAGGGAAACUUGAGCUAAUACCAGAUAAGACCCCAUGAAGGGAUUCACGUGAUCAAAGGGGGAGCAAUCUCCUGCUGGAAGAUGAGUCUAUGUCCUAUCAGCUAGUUGGUGGGGUAACGGCCUACCAAGGCGAAGACGGGUAGCCGGCCUGAGAGGGUGAACGGCCACACUGGAACUGAGACACGGUCCAGACUCCUACGGGAGGCAGCAGUGAGGAAUUUUCCGCAAUGGGCGCAAGCCUGACGGAGCGACGCCGCGUGAAGGGGAUGAAGGUUUUCGGAUCGUAAACCUCUUUUAUCAAGGAAAAAGGUUCAUAUGAUAAUACCAUAUGAGUUUGAUUGUACUUAAUGAAUAAGCCCCGGCUAACUACGUGCCAGCCGCUGC
RNAcentral lists this ribosomal RNA (469 nucleotides) under uncultured bacterium. RNAcentral's name for it is "bacterial SSU rRNA". It matches the Rfam family "Bacterial small subunit ribosomal RNA", at positions 68 to 518 of the family's 1533-position model. The record is from RNAcentral.